AACAAUGUAUUUUUUUUCAGGCUAAAUCUACCCAAGACGUUGGCUGUCAGACUGAUUUAGUAAUCUGCAAAAAUGCACUUGUCCAGGCUCAUGUAAAGCCUUAUCGACGUAGCAAAGCCACACAGUUUAGAGCUCCCAGCCGCAGUGUGUCUUGUGACACAGGGACCGUGACGGAAAUUCAUCUUCCACAAAGUCCCAGAGCUGCGUCCACACCCCUGAAAAGACCACGAUAUGAGGUGUCUGUUGUUGAUCCCAGCUUCCACCUCAAUGACAGUGCAAGCUCAGUGAACUGUUCAAGCUCUUUCACUGAGGUCCAUCCACAAAAGGACAAGAAGUACAUUGUUCAUGAGAAACAGUUGCUGGGGCUGUUCAGAAGGUGUCCCGUUUGUACCGGUCGUUGUGUUGUGAACACGACA
Non-coding RNA from Nothobranchius furzeri (turquoise killifish), 416 nucleotides. NCBI's taxonomy places the organism in Eukaryota, Metazoa, Chordata, Actinopteri, Cyprinodontiformes, Nothobranchiidae. The record is from RefSeq and is a predicted model, not a curated record.